GGGGAAUCUUCCGCAAUGGGCGAAAGCCUGACGGAGCAACGCCGCGUGAGGGAGGAAGGUCUUUGGAUUGUAAACCUCUUUUCUCAAGGAAGAAGUUCUGACGGUACUUGAGGAAUCAGCCUCGGCUAACUCCGUGCCAGCAGCCGCGGUAAUACGGGGGAGGCAAGCGUUAUCCGGAAUUAUUGGGCGUAAAGCGUCCGCAGGUGGUCAGCCAAGUCUGCCGUCAAAUCAGGUUGCUUAACGACCUAAAGGCGGUGGAAACUGGCAGACUAGAGAGCAGUAGGGGUAGCAGGAAUUCCCAGUGUAGCGGUGAAAUGCGUGGAGAUUGGGAAGAACAUCGGUGGCGAAAGCGUGCUACUGGGCUGUAUCUGACACUCAGGGACGAAAGCUAGGGGAGCGAAAGGGAUUAGAUACCCCUGUAGUC
Molecule: ribosomal RNA, 424 nt
Filed under: uncultured cyanobacterium
Lineage: Bacteria; Bacillati; Cyanobacteriota
Description: bacterial SSU rRNA
Rfam family: Bacterial small subunit ribosomal RNA
Source: RNAcentral